CACGAAUUUUUAUUUCCUGUUUUGUGGCUGAAUGAGAGCGCUUUAAUUACGGAUAAGAAAGCAGAGUUUUUCCGAUCAAAAGUGACCGACAAGAUCAAGAUGCUGAACAUCAUCCAAAUAGUGCUCAUAACCUUUGGUUCUGUGAUGUUCCUGGGAUUCUUCAUUGCCUUUUGCGUAUGCAGAAAAAAGAGUUCCAAAUAAGUAAUAGAUAAAGCAGAAUUUGGAAUUCAGAUAAGUUAAUUCAGCUCUACCAGAUUCUGCGUGGCAUUCAACAUUAAAAAAAAUAGUGAGAAUCCAUU
This is a non-coding RNA of Notechis scutatus (mainland tiger snake), 299 nucleotides long. The record is from RefSeq and is a predicted model, not a curated record. Lineage: Eukaryota; Metazoa; Chordata; Lepidosauria; Squamata; Elapidae.